CCUACGGGGGUCUGCAGUAGGGAAUAUUGCUCAAUGGGGGAAACCCUGAUGCAGCAACGCCGCGUGGAGGAUGAAGGUUUUCGGAUUGUAAACUCCUUUUGUUAGAGAAGAUAAUGACGGUAUCUAACGAAUAAGCACCGGCUAACUCCGUGCCAGCAGCCGCGGUAAUACGGAGGGUGCAAGCGUUACCCGGAAUCACUGGGCGUAAAGAGCGCGUAGGCGGGAUAGCAAGUCAGAUGUGAAAUCCUAGGGCUUAACCAUAGAACUGCAUUUGAAACUGUUAUUCUAGAGUAUGGGAGAGGUAGGUGGAAUUCUUGGUGUAGGGGUAAAAUCCGUAGAGAUCAAGAGGAAUACUCAUGGCGAAGGCGACCUGCUAGAACAUAACUGACGCUGAUGCGCGAAAGCGUGGGGAGCAAACAGGAUUAGAUACCCGAGUAGUC
This 440-nucleotide ribosomal RNA is filed under the name uncultured bacterium. RNAcentral's name for it is "partial 16S ribosomal RNA". It matches the Rfam family "Bacterial small subunit ribosomal RNA", at positions 338 to 795 of the family's 1533-position model. The record is from RNAcentral.